Molecule: non-coding RNA, 24 nt
Filed under: Arabidopsis thaliana (thale cress)
Lineage: Eukaryota; Viridiplantae; Streptophyta; Magnoliopsida; Brassicales; Brassicaceae
Source: RNAcentral
AGCAGACUGCUCAGACAUGAUGGA